AUGAACGCUGGCGGCGUGCCUAACACAUGCAAGUCGAGCGGCAGCGAGGGGUGCUUGCACCCUGUCGGCGAGCGGCGGACGGCUGAGUAACGCGUGGGAUCGUGCCCCAAAGUGAGGAAUAACUGCCCGAAAGGGUAGCUAAUACCGCAUAUUAUCUUCGGAUCAAAGGAUUUAUCCGCUUUGGGAGCGGCUCGCGUCGGAUUAGGUAGUUGGUGAGGUAAUGGCUCACCAAGCCGACGAUCCGUAGCUGGUCUGAGAGGAUGACCAGCCAGACUGGAACUGAGACACGGUCCAGACUCCUACGGGAGGCAGCAGUGAGGAAUCUUCCACAAUGGGCGAAAGCCUGAUGGAGCAACGCCGCGUGCAGGACGAAGGCCUUCGGGUUGUAAACUGCUUUUAUAAGUGAGGAAUAUGACGGUAACUUAUGAAUAAGGAUCGGCUAACUACGUG
This 450-nucleotide ribosomal RNA is filed under the name uncultured bacterium. RNAcentral describes it as "partial 16S ribosomal RNA". It matches the Rfam family "Bacterial small subunit ribosomal RNA", at positions 29 to 507 of the family's 1533-position model. The record is from RNAcentral.